Long non-coding RNA from Amphiprion ocellaris (clown anemonefish), 271 nucleotides. The record is from Ensembl. NCBI's taxonomy places the organism in Eukaryota, Metazoa, Chordata, Actinopteri, Pomacentridae.
CAAAGACGAUAAUGGAUAGAAAAACAAAGUUCUUUGCAUGAUUAAAAUAUUUGAAUGAUUUUAACUCAAUGCUCUUUCCCACACUGCUGGAUCCAGAAAAGAAGCAAGACGUUGGGCUGCAACACCAGGAAGUGUCAAGAUGGAAAAUGUCGUGUAGAUUCUUUCUCAUCCAGACCAAAGAACUACAGACUCUUCACAACCUGCUCAAACUCUUGGUACAGGACCUCACCACACAGGUCAAGAAGGUUUCCAUCUCAUUUCUACUCUGAAG